AUAAAUGCAAGAGAUCCCUCAGUCAAGAAGGGAGCUUCCCAGGGUGAUGCUUAGCCAUUGCAAUCCAGAUCUUCCAACCCUUGAGAUUUCCCCAAAUGUGGGAAAUUCUAUUGUUAGUUUGGGGACUAUGUUAUAACUUUGCCUUA
This 146-nucleotide small nuclear RNA is filed under the name Mus caroli (Ryukyu mouse). RNAcentral describes it as "predicted gene, 22145 (MGP_CAROLIEiJ_G0035578.1)". The record is from RNAcentral. Lineage: Eukaryota; Metazoa; Chordata; Mammalia; Rodentia; Muridae.